UUUUAAACUACGUGUUAACACGUAAUUACGUGUUAACACGUGGUUUUGUGCAUGCACAUUGGACCACGGAGCUUUACCACCACCUACUGGCGUGGUGGUAUUGCUCAAACAAACAGAACCAACAGACUAGGCUUCUAAAUUGCAAGAUUUUAUCUAAAAUAUAUUCUGAACAAUGUAUUUUGUGGGCAUAAGUAGUCUACAACUAUAGAAUGAUUACAUACUAAUUAAAAAAUUAACUAUUGUUUAAAUUGACUUUUUAAAUGCUGAAUGUCAUGGCCAUUUUCAGCAUCAAAAUAUAAAUUGUGUAAGUUUAAUUGCAUAUUCUCUCCAAAUAACAUUUUCACAAACACUUAUAAUGUAGCACAUUUCUAUAGACAAGUCUUUUUACUUACAUGUUAAAAAGUAAACGAAUAUCAAUAUUCAUAUGUCAACCCCAAUGCAUUCAUUUUUUGUUAGUGAGCUACUUUCAUAACAUCCUUAAGACUUAUAAAGGCAACCUGUGUGUAGUGGAAUGAAGUCAAUGUUUUUAUUGGUUAUUUGUUAUCACAUAUUGGCAUUCACCUCUGUCUUCUUUAUUUCCAGUGUGUUAGUUGUUUAGGUAUGGAGGGGUGAGCAACAGGAUGGCCAACUUUUUGAUGACCAUACAGCCAAACUAACUUAUGACUUGUUUGAUCGUUAAAAAAACAAAAAAGAAAGCAACAGUUUUGUAUGGAUGAUUUGCUAGGUGUACAGAAUCCACACCGACACUGGGAGAACAUGCAAACUCCACACAGAAAGGCUUUCCAUCCCAGAAGGGGCUCGAACCAGGGUCAGUGUACAGAAGAUCUCCCGUUAUUGGUAUUGGAAGCUGGUAUACUGAGAUAUCUUUGUGCAUUGUUCUGUAAUAUUUUUCAAGGUUCAGUGAAUCCAUUAACACAUUUUUUUCAUUGUGCACUCAAGACACAUAACACCUUUUUUCAAAUUGAAUCACAAUAAAUAACAGUGUAUUAUUACAAACUGUUUUCAGGUGCUGGGGUGUGUGCCAAUUAUGUACUAGAAAAUUAAUGAUUUCAGCCAUACACGUUCAAAAUUAAUUAGGAUACAGUAAAUAGGCUACAGCUAGACAUAAUAAUAUUAUGUAUUAUUAUACAUAAUAAUAGGUAAUGGUAAUGUUUUUCCUACAUUUCUAUACCUUUUAUUUUGCCUUUACUGUCUGUACUAAUAUGCGUUCACUGUAAAGCUGCUUUGCAACAAUGCUAAAUUAUAAAAGUGCAUUAGUAAUAAAUCUAAAUUAAUUACAUUUUUGGAAUAGAAUAUUCACAUAAACUUUUUUAUAAAUUCCACAUAGCCAACACCGUCCUUGGUAACAGACAUCACAACUUUUAUGUAUUUUGUUUACUGGUUAUAAGUAAUGGAACAACCUUUAAGGAUUUCCAGUCUUUAUAAAAGACUCAUCACCAAUUCAUUAUCACAUAAUUAUACACAUUUCCAUGUUUGUACAAUAAAAUUAAUGCAUGGAGUAUCACAUCUCUGAAAGGCUUUAUCCCUAUUCUAAAUUCCAAUGCCCUAAACUGGAGGUAAGGCAUCUGGGUUAGAGGUUCUGACUGAGUGGCAAGGUAAUAAGUUGUGUCUCCAGAGAAUGACAGGACACACACUCAGUUUUCUUUUAAGCUUCAUAGUAUUGCUCUUUUUUUGUACAAAUCAAUGCUAUUGUUGUGAAUAUCAAUGCUUUUGGGUAGACAAACAAUAGCACAUAUGAAUGACUAUUUUUACCAUCACACUGUAGUUUUUUCAGGUUGGAAUACUAUUCACAGGUCCCUGUCAUACAAAGACUGUUUUUCUCUUUAUCCUGUUUUUUCUUUAAACUACUAGUAUCUUUGGACAAAGUGGUGAAUUCGCCUGAAAGAGAUCAACAGAACAUAGUUUACAUACACAUGCCUAAAUACGCAUGUGCAUAUUCUAUGUGCAUCAUACUAUUGUAAUUGUUUAUGGUGCAUUUUUAAUGUGUUUUUACGUGGCUUGCUCCAGUAACACACGUACAAGCUCUUUUCACUCACUAAGGGUUUAUUCAGAAGUCAUAAAUGACAAACAUGACGACAAUGAUAAUAAAAAUCAGACAUAAGAACUGAAAAUAUUGACAAAUAAUUGCAUCUUUGUCUUUUAUACGACUCAAUCAACAAACUGUUAUAGUAACAUCACAACAAACACCAAAAAAAAGAAUAUAACGGUUAACUGACAAUCAUAUAUCAAUCAAACUAACACAAAAAAUAAAGCAUAAACAUGCGGUAUACAAUUCAGAAUCACAAGUAAACAAACACACCAUACUUUACACGCUAAAGCAAUAAACGUACAACAGUAACCACCUACAGAAAGGUGCAAGAAAACAAAGAAAACUAUUCCACACUUCGUUAACUUUACCUGUCUGAUUUUAACACACAAAAAAGAGUGCAAGCGCAUUAGUACAUUAGUGCUCAGCUGUGCGUAUAUUUAUAUCUCCGGAUGAAAACAGUUCCGUCUUAAUUAGUUCCGCUAAACGAUAAUCCCGUUAAGACAUAUCAUUCACUUCUCUUUAGUAUUGUGAGUUUGUUUUCAUUCGUUGUAUGUGUUUUAAUGAAUCUGUACUCUGGGAGCUGCAAUCAAAAUUCCUUGUGUGUGUGUGUGUGUGUGUGUGUGUGUGUGUGUGUGUGUGUGCGUGCGUGCGUGUAAGCAUACUUGACAAUAAAAUGUUCAUUCACACUAUUUAUGUUUCCUGUGUUGUCUGAUAUUGCUGAUUCUAAGAGCUCUGUUUAAAAUGCAUUCGUAUUUCCUUUGCGUUUAUGGUUCUAAUGUAAAUGUUUCAUUUGCGUAUUACAUGUCUAAUCGUUACCACAAAUAACCACUAGAUGGCACAAGCGUAUAAAGAUUGACGUUCUUCUUCGUCACCGUUGUUAAGAGCUCCUCCUCUAAAGGAAGUUGCGAAGUUGGUGAGCUGGGCUGUCGUAACCGCUAGGUCAGUGCACGUCUACACAUUAAUGAAUAUUCACAAUAAAACGAAGGCGCGCAUCACCGCAUUAAUAGUCAUAAGAAGGAUUACAAGCUGUUACAACAGCCAGUGUCAACAUGAAAACACACCUUCGUUUUAUUUGAAUUAUUCAUGAUGUUGUGACCCAAACACUACGUUAAGCUUACAGUGAAUUUACCUCAUAAGCCACGGACAUUGACGCAAGGUAAACGCACAAGGAAGAAGCAAAACCUGCCACCGAGAAAUACAAGCAGAGAAACCGCAGAAGAAGAGAAUGAGAAAUAGUUUCGUUGGGAAAAUGGCUUAGGGCAACAGACAGUCAGUCAGGCUUGCACAGACAGAGUGGCCAGCGAGAUUAUGUGCCUGUGUUGAUUCACAAGCUUGACAGAUGCUGAUUUGGAUGACAACAUAAUAAUAAAUAAACCAGAAGCUGAAUCUGCUUGUUGCGGGACUGCAUACAUUAACAAAGGAGUUGUUUGGCAAAAUAUACUUGGACCAACCUGCCUUGAAGCGCACCAAGCCAUGUACUGCACAGGUGGAUAUAUGAAUGCUUAUUUAAAAUUAUUAUUAUUAUUAUGAUUAUUCAGCCUUAUAUUGUUGUAAGCAAUAUUAGUUUACACACUUCAAGUUGUUGUGUCUGUGUUUAUGUAAGCAUAUGUAGCUCAGGGUCACUGGUUUCAAUUAUGCUUCAUUUGUUGCUGUAACAUCCUUGUCUGCUAUACAAACCUAUUUUAUCUAUACAGUUUCUUUGUAUGUUUCUCUUUUAUCAUAAUGUGUAACUUUCUUACACUUUCUAUGAGCGGCCUCUACACUAAUAUCAGUUUGUUUUGUUUUCCAUGCCCCGUCCUGGAGUUCCCGAAGACACCAGAGGUCGCCAGUCCAAGCUCCGGGUUGUGGCCUGAUGCUCUUCCCAGUUCAGCCAGAUCCUUGUGAUGAUGGGCAAUCCACCUGAUGACAACUAACAAUUACCAUACUUUAACUUUAACAAAUAUAUUCUUUUCAUACGUUUUGGUAUUAUUGCAAACUGUUCUGGUAUAUUGUAAUUUAACAAUAUUUAAAAUAAUAAUAUACCUAGAUUAAAUAUACUUCAAUUAAAUAAUUGACCGUUUCUGACAAUCCAAGAUAACAUUUAUUUCAGUUUCAUCAGUGUACAUUGCAUAAAGAAAUAAUACCAUGUGUCUUAAUAUCAUAUACUUUUUUAAAAUUAUGAUGUAUGUACAGCUGCUUUGCAACAAUGAUAAUUGUGAAAAGCGCUAUAUAAAUACAAUUGAAAAUUGAAUAUUUUGCAGGUAGGAAUUGUUAGCUUAAUUCUUAGCUCAUUGGUUAGACUUAGUCAGUUUAAAUGUGUUUAUAUAAUAUAUGUAUAGUUAUGUUUAAUGUUAUUUGUAAUCUCCAACGCUGCUCCUGGAGAGCUACCAUCCAGCACACUUCAGCUCCAACCCCUCUUCAGCACAUCUGUCUGUAUUUAUCCAGCAACCCUGAACACUUUGAUAGGAUGGAUCAGGUGUGUUUGAUUGGGGUUGGAACUGAUAUCUUCAGGAUGGUAGCUCUCCAGGAGCAGGGUUGCAGAUCCCUGGUUUAAGUUAUGUGUUAAAUGUGAAACACCGUGGUCCUGUGAGACAUAUUAUUUCUUUGUAUGUCCCCACAUAUAACAGAAUGACAAUAAAACUGAGCUGACUUGAA
This is a long non-coding RNA of Triplophysa rosa, 4663 nucleotides long. RefSeq lists it as uncharacterized. Lineage: Eukaryota; Metazoa; Chordata; Actinopteri; Cypriniformes; Nemacheilidae. The record is from RefSeq and is a predicted model, not a curated record. The transcript is spliced from 2 exons.